UGCACUUCUGUGUGUUUUUGUUUCAUCUGUGGACAAAACUGACAUACAGGUUUUUACAACCCAGAACUCAUCGACCAGUAUGAGCUUUGAUAUAUGCAAGCAAGA
Ochotona curzoniae (black-lipped pika) is the source of this 105-nucleotide small nucleolar RNA. RefSeq annotates it as small nucleolar RNA SNORA40. NCBI's taxonomy places the organism in Eukaryota, Metazoa, Chordata, Mammalia, Lagomorpha, Ochotonidae. The transcript has a single exon. The record is from RefSeq and is a predicted model, not a curated record.